AAAAAAGAGACAAAAGCUCUUUGAUGACCUUGGAAUUCUCUGCUAAUGCUAGAGCAGUCUCCUUGAGGUCCAGCCUUGCUCACCUGAUUCACAGAUAAGUAAUUUGUGGAAGGAUUCAAAGUGGUCCAGAGAAGAAAAUCCUCAGAAGUACCUCAAAGCUAAAGUUUGAUUUCUGUCAUUCACUGAUAUUCCUUUCUCUUCUCAUCUUGCAGGACAAAGUUUUCCUCUCGUAUUUCUCUGCUGCUGUGAUCUCCAUUUCUGCACAUCCCAGAAACUUGCUUGUUUAAUCCUGCUUACAAAAAAGGAUGGUGUGUUUAAAGAAAAAUAAUUUAAAAUGAUUUUUAGCUACUUAGUAAAAAAUAAAUAGUGUACUUUUUCUAAGCGAACCAGGCAUUCUUAGCAAUUAAUUUCUUUUCUUAUACUCUCCAUUACCCUGGAGAAGGAUGUGCAUCCUAAAGAUAUUAUAAAAUAAGCAAAAAAACCCAACUUGAAAGGACUGGCAGUGUUUAAAGUUAGCAUUUGGAGUAUAUCUGCAAGAAGCAGCAGCAGUGUUUAAAUGGGAAAUUCCAGACUAUAAAUUCUUUUUCAGCUAGAUUAUAUUCAGUACAAGUGUUGACUUUCAAUUUAUACCUUUGAUAUGACUCAUUGAAUGUUCUGAUUCUUAGUUUAUUUGUCCUGUCUUCAGCAAAAUGGAUUGAAUAAAGGG
This 706-nucleotide long non-coding RNA is filed under the name Gallus gallus (chicken). The record is from RNAcentral. Lineage: Eukaryota; Metazoa; Chordata; Aves; Galliformes; Phasianidae.